Molecule: ribosomal RNA, 671 nt
Filed under: uncultured euryarchaeote
Lineage: Archaea; Methanobacteriati; Methanobacteriota
Description: bacterial SSU rRNA
Rfam family: Archaeal small subunit ribosomal RNA
Source: RNAcentral
UUCCGGUUGAUCCUGCCGGAGGCUACCGCUAUUGGAGUUCGAUUAAGCCAUGCGAGUCGCGAGAAAUUAGAUUCUCGGCGUACCGCUCAGUAACACGUGGGUAACCUGCCCUAUGCUGGAUAAUAACCUCGGGAAACUGAGUAUAAUGAUCCAUAGUUCACUACGCCUGGAACGGUGAGUGGAUGAAAGCUCCGGCGGCAUAGGAUGGGCCUGCGGCGUAUCAGGUUGUAGGGGGUGUAACGUACCCUCUAGCCCUCUACGCGUACGGGUGUUGGGAGACAUAGCCCGGAGAUGGAUUCUGAGACACGAAUCCAGACCCUACGGGGUGCAGCAGGCGCGAAAACUUGGCAAUGCGAGAAAUCGUGACCAGGGAACUCCAAGUGCAUCGGGUAAGACCGGUGCUUUUCUUGACUCUAAAUAGGUCUUGGAAUAAGGGGUGGGUAAGGACGGUGCCAGCCGCCGCGGUAAUACCGGCGCCUCAAGUGGUAGUCGCUUUUAUUGGGCCUAAAACGUCCGUAGCCGGUCUGAUACAUUCGUGGGUAAAUCAACCAGCUCAACUGGUUGAAUUCUGCGAGGACGGUCAGACUUGGGACCGGGAGAGGUGUGGGGUACGCUCAGGGUAGGGGUAAAAUCCUGUCAUCCUGAGCGGGACCACCUGUUGCGAAGGCGCC